Molecule: ribosomal RNA, 1247 nt
Filed under: metagenome
Description: bacterial LSU rRNA
Rfam family: Bacterial large subunit ribosomal RNA
Source: RNAcentral
CUACACGACCGUACCGCAAACCGACACUGGUGCGCGAGAUGAGUAUUCUAAGGCGCUUGAGAGAACUCAGGAGAAGGAACUCGGCAAAUUGACACCGUAACUUCGGAAGAAGGUGUGCCUUUAGUAGGUGAACCAUUUACUUGGGGAGCCCAAUGAGGCUGCAAAAAAUCGGUGGCUGCAACUGUUUAUUAAAAACACAGCACUCUGCUAAGACGAAAGUCGACGUAUAGGGUGUGACGCCUGCCCGUGCUGGAAGAUUAAAUGAUGGGGUGCAAGCUCUUGAUUGAAGUCCCAGUAAACGGCGGCCGUAACUAUAACGGUCCUAAGGUAGCGAAAUUCCUUGUCGGGUAAGUUCCGACCUGCACGAAUGGCGUAAUGAUGGCCACACUGUCUCCUCCUGAGACUCAGCGAAGUUGAAAUGUUUGUGAUGAUGCAAUCUCCCCGCGGAAAGACGGAAAGACCCCAUGAACCUUUACUGUAGCUUUGUAUUGGACUUUGAACAGAUCUGUGUAGGAUAGGUGGGAGGCUUUGAAGUGUGGUCGCUAGAUCGCAUGGAGCCAACGUUGAAAUACCACCCUGGUGUGUUUGAGGUUCUAACCUAGGUCCAUUAUCUGGAUCGGGGACAGUGCAUGGUAGGCAGUUUGACUGGGGCGGUCUCCUCCCAAAGUGUAACGGAGGAGUUCGAAGGUACGCUAGGUACGGUCGGACAUCGUGCUAAUAGUGCAAUGGCAUAAGCGUGCUUAACUGCGAGACUGACAAGUCGAGCAGAUGCGAAAGCAGGACAUAGUGAUCCGGUGGUUCUAUGGAAGGGCCAUCGCUCAACGGAUAAAAGGUACUCUGGGGAUAACAGGCUGAUACCGCCCAAGAGUUCAUAUCGACGGCGGUGUUUGGCACCUCGAUGUCGGCUCAUCUCAUCCUGGGGCUGUAGCCGGUCCCAAGGGUAUGGCUGUUCGCCAUUUAAAGAGGUACGUGAGCUGGGUUUAAAACGUCGUGAGACAGUUUGGUCCCUAUCUUCCGUGGGCGCUGCAGAUUUGAGGAAGCCUGCUCCUAGUACGAGAGGACCGGAGUGGACGAACCUCUGGUGUAUCGGUUGUCACGCCAGUGGCAUUGCCGAGUAGCUAAGUUCGGAAGAGAUAACCGCUGAAAGCAUCUAAGCGGGAAACUCGUUUCAAGAUUAGAUCUGCCGGGGCCUUGAGCCCCCUAAAGAGUCGUUCAAGACCAGGACGUUGAUAGGUCAGGUGUGGAAC